AGCGAACGUUAGCGGCGCGCCUAACACAUGCAAGUCGCACGAGAAAGGGAGCAAUCCCCGGUACAGUGGCGCACGGGUGAGUAACACGUAGAUGACCUUCCCUGGAGUGGUGGAUAACCUGCCGAAAGGCGGGCUAAUACAGCAUGGGACCACAUGGUUUUGACCGAGUGGUGAAAGCGGGCCUCUGUUCACAAGCUCGCGCUCUGGGAUGGGUCUGCGUCCCAUCAGCUAGUUGGUGAGGUAAUGGCUCACCAAGGCAUCGACGGGUAGCUGGUCUGAGAGGAUGACCAGCCACACUGGAACUGAGACACGGUCCAGACUCCUACGGGAGGCAGCAGUGGGGAAUCUUGCGCAAUGGGCGAAAGCCUGACGCAGCGACGCCGCGUGAGCGAUGAAGGCCU
This 401-nucleotide ribosomal RNA is filed under the name uncultured bacterium. RNAcentral describes it as "bacterial SSU rRNA". It matches the Rfam family "Bacterial small subunit ribosomal RNA", at positions 29 to 417 of the family's 1533-position model. The record is from RNAcentral.